UGCCGAAUUGUGUAAAGGUAGCACGAAUGACUCUGACUCAUUUAGUCCUGGUUCGAAUCCAGGUUCGGCAGCCA
This 74-nucleotide transfer RNA is filed under the name Clostridia bacterium. RNAcentral describes it as "tRNA-Gln". It matches the Rfam family "tRNA". Rfam says of the family: Transfer RNA (tRNA) molecules are approximately 80 nucleotides in length. Their secondary structure includes four short double-helical elements and three loops (D, anti-codon, and T loops). RNAcentral also lists the same sequence under 1 other name. Lineage: Bacteria; Bacillati; Bacillota; Clostridia. The record is from RNAcentral.